RNAcentral lists this ribosomal RNA (492 nucleotides) under uncultured bacterium. RNAcentral's name for it is "partial 16S ribosomal RNA". It matches the Rfam family "Bacterial small subunit ribosomal RNA", at positions 29 to 507 of the family's 1533-position model. The record is from RNAcentral.
AGUGAACGCUGGCGGUAGGCCUAACACAUGCAAGUCGAACGGCAGCACAGUAAGAGCUUGCUCUUACGGGUGGCGAGUGGCGGACGGAUGAGGAAUACAUCGGAAUCUACUUUUUCGUGGGGGAUAACGUAGGGAAACUUACGCUAAUACCGCAUACGACCUACGGGUGAAAGCAGGGGAUCUUCGGACCUUGCGCGAUUGAAUGAGCCGAUGUCGGAUUAGCUAGUUGGCGGGGUAAAGGCCCACCAAGGCGACGAUCCGUAGCUGGUCUGAGAGGAUGAUCAGCCACACUGGAACUGAGACACGGUCCAGACUCCUACGGGAGGCAGCAGUGGGGAAUAUUGGACAAUGGGCGCAAGCCUGAUCCAGCCAUACCGCGUGGGUGAAGAGGGCCUUCGGGUUGUAAAGCCCUUUUGUUGGGAAAGAAAAGCAGCAGGUUAAUACCCCGCUGUUCUGACGGUACCCAAAGAAUAAGCACCGGCUAACUUCGUG